AACCGUGUGGUGAGCGCAAAGCGAACUAUUCUUUCGCCUUUUACUAAAAAAUACCGUGUGCUCUCCACUUCAAACGGCAUAAACCUAUUUUCGGAGGAGUUACUUUCUCUGAAGUUUU
This 118-nucleotide small nuclear RNA is filed under the name Arabidopsis thaliana x Arabidopsis arenosa. Its description in RNAcentral is "U5". It matches the Rfam family "U5 spliceosomal RNA". Rfam says of the family: U5 RNA is a component of both types of known spliceosome. The precise function of this molecule is unknown, though it is known that the 5' loop is required for splice site selection and p220 binding, and that both the 3' stem-loop and the Sm site are important for Sm protein binding and cap methylation. Lineage: Eukaryota; Viridiplantae; Streptophyta; Magnoliopsida; Brassicales; Brassicaceae. The record is from RNAcentral.